GGCAGGAAGGAGGAAAAUCAAGAGAGGCUGGAUGGAAUCCAUUAGAACAACAUCCACCAGGCAGGGAAAGAAACAGCACUUCCUCUCACGUCUGCCUCCUGAAUAUUAUGGAAGAACAAAGAUGACAGCCCCUCAACCCAUGACGGGACCCUGUAUUUUCUUCUUCUCUGUGGACUCAUCCCCCACCACCACCUACCCCUUGAUUUAUCUUCUUAAAAAGACAUAUUUGAGGACCUGAGCAGUUUUUUUUUGGUUAAAUGUACCAUGUGCGGUAAUACCUACAAAAGAAACGUGUGUACCUCCACCAGCCCACUCAAAGGAUGCCUGGACGUGUGCAAAGAUACUGCUGCCUCUAUUCUUCCAUGACAGCUGAGUUGGCUUCCUGGACUGUUUCUACUUUUAGAGAGGACUCAAAUGUCUGUUGUAGGUCCAAAUGCAUCAAAUAUCCAGAGCACGGUUUUGCAUAGAAUUUUAUUUGAACCCUGGGUUGGGUCAGAAUUGAAUUAACCAGCAGGACACCCCCCCCCCAUGAGAUCUGCCAGCGUGUAUCCCCUUCAGAAUGACCUUUCCUGACCUUCUUGUCAUCUAAUUCAAGCCUCCCAGGUGGCCCAAGAGGGAUCUCUUCUAAUCUCCUGGACGGUCUGUGGUCACAAACCUUCUUGGGCACCACCUUUUCCGCCUCCCCUGCUGUUUUCCCUGCCUCCCUCACCCUGUUCCCAUCACUGUCGUUUUCUAGGAGAGAGCUCAAGUUCUUCCUAAAGUAUGUGGCGUGGCCUGUCUGGUUUGUUCUGGGGUCAGCGUGAUUAAGAUAGAGCCGUGAGAUGAAAUAGAAGCUCUCUGUUCUAUCCCUGCAGCAGGCCUUUGGCACACAGACCUGCAACCAGCAUCUCCUUUCAUCCACAGUAGAAAGAAAGUGAGGCUACAUGCCCAAAUGAAAGCCUAGGAAACAGUUCGCCAGGCUCCUGUUUCUAACUCCUUUUCUAUCUGAAAUCUCCUCAUUGCGCUUUGAAUUGAUCCAGAAGGUUCCCAAAUCCUGUUAUCAUCACUGGGUCCUCUCAGUAGGAAAAAAUCCAGCUGCUCCAAACUCCAAGUCUUGUACACACUACACCCCAAGUAAUGGGUCUUUCCUGCCUCUCAUUUAUUCUUGCUGCCUCGGAAGCCACACCCAGCAGCCAGGAAUCAUCUUACCACCAGAGAGCUAACCCUGGGAGAUAAGGUUGAUGGGUCCCAGCCCAGACUCCACCACUAAGCAGUAGUGAGCCCCAGAUCUUGCUGAAGAGAAUGUAAGUCAUUCAACAUCUCUGGUCCUCAGUUUCCCCAUCUGUAGUUUGCUACUGGGAUGAGUCCGAAAUUCUAGAGGUCCAUCAUGAAAAUAGCUUCAUCUUCUCUCUACCUUCUUCUGAUGCUAAACUCAUCUUUACAAGCACCUAAUAGUUUUCGUUGAGAAACUGAAAAAGCGGGAAAUAGGCAAGCACACAAGAGCUCAGGAAGUUGUUUAGGAAGCCACUGUGGAAUGGGCAAGAGCAUGGUUUCCAUGUUGUUUGUGCUGCCAGUUUCUUAGUGGUUGGACAGUUCUCGCCCCUCGCCUAGGAAAGCAAGCACCCUGUGGAAUAUGGGUGCUCAAAUACUCUGAUCACAGUCCUAUCACAAAGGCCACAUUCCAUAGCUCUCCUGAUGUAAUGCCGUCUUAUUCUUGAAACAUGGUCUCAUGCAGAUGUAAGCCUUCAGAAAGUGUUUGAGUGAUUUCACCUGAGUUAGCAAAUGCACCUUUAUUUACAAAUCUUACCAAAUCUAGGGUCAGGGAGUUCCCAUUGGGCUCAGCAGGUUAAGAACCAGACUAGGAUCCAUGAGGAUGCGGGUCCAUCCCUGGCCCUGCUCAGUGGGUUAAGGAUCCGGCAUUGCCGUGAGCUGUGGUAUAGGCCAGCAGCUAUAGUUCUGGUUCGACCCCUAGCCUGGGAACCUCCAUGUGCCACAGGUGUGGUCCUAAAAAGACCAAAAAAUAAAAGUUCAGGUUUGCACCCACAACUGCUUAGUUGCUUUCCUGGAUGUCUUGAGAUAUCAAAGAAGAGGUAGGAAAAGAAGUGGCAGAAGGGAAAGUCUAAGUACCAAGAAGGUUGCAGUGAAAAGAUGGCGAAAUUGAGAUUUUUCUCAAUCCUGGAAUCGUUUCAAAAGCAUUCCAUGGGAAUAGUUUCUGAUUCCCUCUGCCAAUCAAAACAGGAUAUAAUAGUCUCCAGUUUUUUUUCUGUUGACUCUCAAAAGGGCCUUGACCUGUUUCUUCAGUAAAACACCUCACUCGUUUAUGCUCUCAAGCCAGAAGUGUUUGCAUUUGGCCUUCACCUGGUAUUGUGGAAAGACACUUUGUUGAUUGUUAAGGUACAUAUUGGCUGUAUAUUUGGAUGUCCAGUAACCCUCCUAUCAAGCUGAACUUGGUCCUGGUACCAAGCCUACAGAAACAGUUGUCAUGUUGCACCAACAAGAAGAAGCCCCAUGGCAGGGCACUCCGAAAUGGACUAUACGUUUUGGUACAGUUUUUGUUUCUGGCAAGCAAAGUGUGUUUUGAGUAAAGCUUCUCUCGGAAUUGCCGUGUAGACAAAAUCAUCAGUAUCUUCUAGAUGUGCAUCCCUUGGUUGUUUUGGGUAUGGAAUGACAGUUCUCCACGUGAUGGUCUUUUGCUCUAAAUAUUGACCAUUCCUUCUAUCAGUGGUGUCGCGCCAACCAGACACAUCCAUUGCCAGGGCUGACUUGUGUCUUUCUCAAACAAGACCUUGAUCCGGUUUAGCGAACCCAGAAUUUUGAGUGUCGAGGAUACCAUUCCUGGUCCCUAGUUUAAGGCCAAGAGCACUGGGGCCGGGGGCCGGGGGGGAGCCAGGCAGAAUAUUCACUCAUUUCUUGUCAUCUCCAAUGAUUAUUCAACAAAUAUUUAUCAGCCUGCGCUCUUGUGUUAGGUUAAGGCAUUGUACUGUGCAGGCAGUUAACCCUUAGUAGGACAUACAGUGGGGAACCAGAGAAUGAAAAAGAAGCUGUCUGUGAUGGGGGUCCCAUUACCUUUUGAGACCCCCUCCCCCAUAAACACAGUGUUCUUUUUCUAAAUUUAAAAGAAGUGAUAGUCUUUGAUGGGCAAUGCAGGAACUCCUCAGAAAGUGGGAAUAUCUUUGACAGGAGGAGAAAGCCCCGCAAUUGCUUGGCCUUUGUUGGCGGGAAUACAAACCAGAAUAUACUGGGAAAAGGCAAAAUGGAGCCAUACAUGCGCUGUUUCUUUAAAUACCCUGAUAGGAAACUGCGUGCUAACGUAUUCAAAGAAAAUAUUUGGCAGCAAAGAUUGCCCCAUCUUUAUAGUGGUGUUCAUUUUUAAAGUCCCAGUUUCUUUGCAGGCUCUCUUCUCAUGGCCUGAAAGUGGAGGUGGGGGCUGGGAAGUCUGUUCCAGAGCAAACAGCACUGGAAUUUUCUCUCGAAGCAGAGUCAGCAAAUCGCCCAGCUGCUGCCACGUCCCCCCCCCAACCCCCCCGCCCUGGCCUCAGCUUCCCAGGGUGUUUCCUUUCUGAUUUUGAAGACGUGUGAUGAAGUCAACUGUCUGCAGACCCCUAGAGCAGCCUUGCCCCUCUCUACUUUCAGCAGAUAAGCCAUCCAGAAAACAGGUUCUGACAGUCCAUGGCAGGCGAUUUUCAGAUUUCAGUUAAAAACCAGUGCAUAUGGUGUUGCAAUUGUCCGGAAGCUGCAAAGGACCUUUGGGGUCUGGGAUCUGAGGGGCGGGGCAGAGCAGAGAGCAGGUGGUUGUCAGGGACCCUCCGCCCUCCCCUUCCUUUUUUACCCACUGGCUUUCACCUUCCCUCCUCCAGGCAGGACACACACCACUUUCCCUUCUGUUCCUCCUCCCACCCUCCUCCUGUCUCCUUUUGACUCUAACCGUUGCAAAAGGGAGGCCAAGCUUUAUGGGGCUCUUAGGAAUGACGAAGGGAUGUGCCAUCCCAUGCGUGCUGGGUAGGCCCAGGGGAUGGAGAACAGGGGUGGGUGCAGGGGGUGUGACCUCUAGAUCAGUGGCUUUGACACAGCUCCCUGUGCUCGGCGAGAUCUCCAGCUGCUUCCGAACUUCUGCCUGAGAUGGCAUGGGCACUGCUGGCCUGCCACCUGAGAGAGGCCCAUCUCUUAGCUCGACUCCCGUCUCCUGAAUGGCAAGGAGGCCCACAAGGUCUCCUGAAUUCACUGACCUGGGGCAGACAGACACAUCUCUCCAUGCCUGGAGAGGGUCCUACUUGGUGCGGGAGGCUGCAUGCCUUCUACUCAGAUUUAAAUGCUGAAAUUGCAGGGGUUGCCCCCCUCUGUGUACUCUCCCAACUCCAUGCUCCCUUCGAGCCAAAAAUUCGCAGAACUAGAGGAGGAGAAAGUAGCCCUCAGCCUUCUGUGCAGACUCAGGGUUUAACACUGAGUUCGUGGCCUGCCCUGGAAGCUGGGAUGCAGGGUCCUAGGCAGCUUUUAGGCCAAGACUUUCAGGGGAGCAGGUGCAACGCUUUUUCUCAGAGCCCAUCAUGUCAGGAAUUUUGUGAGCCAUUGAGAAACAGCCAUUGUUAAAAAUUAAAGCAUGUAGGAGUUCCCACUGUGGCUCAGUGGGUUAAGACCCCAACAGUCUCCAUGAGGAUAUGGGUUCAACCCCUGGCCUGGCUCAGUGGGUUAAGGAUCUGGCGCUGCCCCAAGCUGCAGUGUAGGUCACAGAUGCAGCUCAGAUCCUGGGUUGCUGUGACUGUGGUGUAGUCCAGCAGCUGCAGCUCCAGUUCAACCCCUAGCCUGAGAACUUCAACCUGCUGCAGGUGAGGCCCUAAAAAGGAAAAAAAAAAAAUGGCAAGCAUGUAAACUUACAAUGAAAUUAUAUUUAAAAACAAAGGUAAUAGAUAUUCAAAACUCAUCCCUUUCUAAUUAUUUUACUGCACGUUAGUAUCGUCUGUGCUCUUGAGGUAAUUGACACCUUUUGUGUCUUUGUGGUGGAAAUACUGCGAAAUGCUGGUCUUCUGAAUACAUUCUCCAUCUGCAGGUUCAGUGACAUCAACUUUAUAGCUUGAAAUUGGCCAUGUCAGGAGCAUUCACACCACAGACAGCAACAAACCUGCAAAUCACAUUCCUCCCCAGACAGCGGUUAAUCAUUUGCCUGCACACCUCUGCCUAAGGCCCUGACCUGUAUGUGGCCCCCACGCCAUAGACCCUGACCAACCAAAUUGCAUCCCGUGGGUUUGUGGGUCAGCAUUGCCCAUCCACCCACCCAAGGGACAGAAAGACUUAGCAAGUUCAACCUCAUACUGUCCACUAGGGGACUCUUUCUGCAGUUGUAUUAAUUCAGAAUAAGACCCAUGGUACAGAGAAUUCACGACCCUCUGUGAUUCUCAUUCCUUCAGGGAGAAUGGGCAGCAAAUUGGUUCUCUUACACUGUGCAAACAAAAAUAAAUUUGUUCAGCGUUACGCAAUAUCUCCCCUCUCAUGCCCAAGAAGGCAUUAAAGAAAGAAGACUCCUUCCUUGCCUUUGAUGGUCACCAGGCCUGCCUGGAUAGAACUGGACAGAUUGGCUUAAUCUCAUUUCCUCUGCUGUGAUUAUACAUUUAUUGCACUGAAUCUAUGUCCUAAAUCAAACAAGAAUGUUCUUUCUCGAUGCGUGCUUUCACAGCAUCCAAAAUGCCAUUGUGUCUCCUUCUCCUGCACCACGAACACAUCGAACAGACCAUAUGUCCUUCGCUAAUGUCUCGAUGCUGUAAAUAAGGUCCUAGAAGAGUUUUCGCUUUCAGGUGAAUGUCCGUUUUGGACACACACACUAAACCAACCAGCCACUCUCUCUGCAAUGAGAUCUUGGCAGUGGCCCUGUCCUUGGUUUCGGUGUUUGGGCGUUUUGUUGUGUCUUGUUUCCUGUUUUCACUGCUCUGUAAGCCCCCCUGCUGUGAAUGUUCCAGUUAUCCCAAAUGGACUGUAUAUAUGAGCUGCAUGUGUGCACCCCAAUAAAUUCCAUUUCAGGUUUCUGCAGUUUUCUUCUUAAGUACAGCUGGUCCUGUGGUGAACGCAUCUUUCUGAUCUGUUCCUCUUAUGUCCAGUUCCCAUUUUGCCAAAAUGUUUGACCAAGUGUGUUUUAACAAAUGCCCGAGCCAGCCACGCGUCCCCUUCCUUGUGUUGAGGGUGUGUGUCAUGUGGGAUGACUUGUGUAAAUCUCUCAACUGUGGAAGUGUGUGUACAGUGAUAUGCCAGACACCCAAAAUUCAUGUAACAGCUGCAAAGAUAUUUAAUGGACAUCGGAUUAAUAAAAGAGCAUUUUUUGCUCCAUUAUAU
This 6297-nucleotide long non-coding RNA is filed under the name Sus scrofa (pig). RNAcentral's name for it is "lncRNA (ENSSSCG00055004658.1)". Lineage: Eukaryota; Metazoa; Chordata; Mammalia; Artiodactyla; Suidae. The record is from RNAcentral.